GACGAACGCUGGCGGCGUGCUUAACACAUGCAAGUCGAACGGAAAGGCCCCUUUGGGGGUACUCGAGUGGCGAACGGGUGAGUAACACGUGAGUAACCUGCCCUUGACUUCGGGAUAACUUCAGGAAACUGGGGCUAAUACCGGCUAGGAAUCCUUGCUGCAUGGUGGGGGUUGGAAAGCUUCGGCGGUUUUGGAUGGACUCGCGGCUUAUCAGCUUGUUGGUGGGGUAGUGGCUUACCAAGGCCUUGACGGGUAGCCGGCCUGAGAGGGCGAGCCGCCACAUUGGGACUGAGAUACGGCCCAGACUCCUACGGGAGGCAGCAGUGGGGAAUAUUGCACAAUGGGCGGCAGCCUGAUGCAGCAACGCCGCGUGCGGGAUGACAGCCUUCGGGUUGUAAACCGCUUUCAGCAGGAGCGAAGCUUGUGGUGACGGUACCUGCAGAAGUAGCACCGGCUAACUACGUG
Molecule: ribosomal RNA, 465 nt
Filed under: uncultured bacterium
Lineage: Bacteria
Description: partial 16S ribosomal RNA
Rfam family: Bacterial small subunit ribosomal RNA
Source: RNAcentral